RNAcentral lists this ribosomal RNA (207 nucleotides) under uncultured bacterium. RNAcentral describes it as "partial 16S ribosomal RNA". It matches the Rfam family "Bacterial small subunit ribosomal RNA", at positions 568 to 774 of the family's 1533-position model. The record is from RNAcentral.
CUCGUAGGUGGCCAACUAAGUCAGACGUGAAAUCCCUCGGCUUAACCGGGGAACUGCGUCUGAUACUGGAUGGCUUGAGUUCGGGAGAGGGAUGCGGAAUUCCAGGUGUAGCGGUGAAAUGCGUAGAUAUCUGGAGGAACACCGGUGGCGAAGGCGGCAUCCUGGACCGACACUGACGCUGAGGAGCGAAAGCGUGGGGAGCAAACA